Molecule: ribosomal RNA, 508 nt
Filed under: uncultured bacterium
Lineage: Bacteria
Description: bacterial SSU rRNA
Rfam family: Bacterial small subunit ribosomal RNA
Source: RNAcentral
AACACAUGCAAGUCGAACGAGAACCGAGUAGCUUGCUACUCGGGGAAAGUGGCGAACGGGUGAGUAACACGUGAGCAAUCUGCCCUCGAGUGAGGAAUAACCCCGCGAAAGCGGGGCUAAUACCGCAUGAUGCUCUGGAGCAUAAGCUUUCAGAGUUAAAGCCCUCGGGCGCUUGAGGAUGAGCUUGCGUCCUAUUAGCUUGUUGGUAGGGUAACGGCCUACCAAGGUUAUGAUGGGUAGCCGGCCUGAGAGGGUGUCCGGCCACACUGGAACUGGGACACGGUCCAGACUCCUACGGGAGGCAGCAGUGGGGAAUUUUGCGCAAUGGGCGAAAGCCUGACGCAGCGACGCCGCGUGGAGGAUGAAGGCUUUCGGGUUGUAAACUCCUGUCAGAGGUGAAGAAAACCCCCCCUAGGGGGGGCUUGACGGUAACCUCAGAGGAAGCCCCGGCUAACUACGUGCCAGCAGCCGCGGUAAUACGUANGGGGCAAACGUUGCUCGGAAUUAC